CUACGGGAGGCAGCAGUCGAGAAUCUUCGGCAAUGGGCGCAAGCCUGACCGAGCGACGCCGCGUGUGCGAUGAAGGCCUUCGGGUUGUAAAGCACUGUCAGGGGGGAGUAAAGGAAACUUGAACUAUCCCCAGAGGAAGCACGGGCUAAGUUCGUGCCAGCAGCCGCGGUAAGACGAACCGUGCGAACGUUGUUCGGAAUCACUGGGCUUAAAGGGCGCGUAGGCGGGCAUGUAGGUCCAGGGUGAAAUCCCCCGGCUCAACCGGGGAACUGCCUUGGAAACCCCACGCCUUGAGGGAGACAGGGGCACAUGGAACUUCCAGUGGAGCGGUGAAAUGCGUAGAGAUUGGAAGGAACGCCGGUGGCGAAAGCGAUGUGCUGGAUCUCUUCUGACGCUGAGGCGCGAAAGCGUGGGGAGCAAACAGGAUUAGAAACCCCGGUAGUCC
This 445-nucleotide ribosomal RNA is filed under the name uncultured bacterium. RNAcentral's name for it is "bacterial SSU rRNA". It matches the Rfam family "Bacterial small subunit ribosomal RNA", at positions 339 to 796 of the family's 1533-position model. The record is from RNAcentral.